This 492-nucleotide ribosomal RNA is filed under the name uncultured bacterium. RNAcentral's name for it is "partial 16S ribosomal RNA". It matches the Rfam family "Bacterial small subunit ribosomal RNA", at positions 30 to 507 of the family's 1533-position model. The record is from RNAcentral.
AGUGAACGCUGGCGGUAGGCCUAACACAUGCAAGUCGAACGGCAGCACAGUAAGAGCUUGCUCUUACGGGUGGCGAGUGGCGGACGGGUGAGGAAUACAUCGGAAUCUACUUUUUCGUGGGGGAUAACGUAGGGAAACUUACGCUAAUACCGCAUACGACCUACGGGUGAAAGCAGGGGAUCUUCGGACCUUGCGCGAUUGAAUGAGCCGAUGUCGGAUUAGCUAGUUGGCGGGGUAAAGGCCCACCAAGGCGACGAUCCGUAGCUGGUCUGAGAGGAUGAGGGGACAGACGGGGACUGAGAGGGGGUCGAGACCCCGGAGGGAGGAAGCAGGGGGGCAUGUUAGGCGAUGUGCGGAAGCAUGAACGAGACAUGGGGGGUGAGGGAGGAAGGGCUUCGGAUCGUAAAGCUCUUUUAGUGGGAAAGAAAAAAUGCGUCACGAAAUAUGCACGGCCUGACGGCACAAAAAAAGAAAGAGACCCCUAAUUCCGUG